RNAcentral lists this small nuclear RNA (99 nucleotides) under Galleria mellonella (greater wax moth). Its description in RNAcentral is "U1 spliceosomal RNA". It matches the Rfam family "U1 spliceosomal RNA", at positions 66 to 166 of the family's 166-position model. Rfam says of the family: U1 is a small nuclear RNA (snRNA) component of the spliceosome (involved in pre-mRNA splicing). The record is from Rfam by way of RNAcentral. Lineage: Eukaryota; Metazoa; Arthropoda; Insecta; Lepidoptera; Pyralidae.
UUGCACUGCGGUUGGGUUGACCCCUGCGAUUAUCCCUAAUGUGGAUAACUCGGACGCGUAAUUUUUGGUAGUAGGGGACUGCGUACGCGCUGUCCCCUU